Molecule: unclassified non-coding RNA, 262 nt
Filed under: plant metagenome
Description: partial contains small subunit ribosomal RNA, internal transcribed spacer 1, and 5.8S ribosomal RNA
Source: RNAcentral
UUUCGUAGGUGAACCUGCGGAAGGAUCAUUAUUGUAUAACCGAGGUGCGAGGGCUGUCGCUGACCCGAAAGGUCGUGCACGCCCGAGUGCCCUCACACACAUCCAUCUCACCCCUAUGUGCACCACCGCGUGGGUCCCCCUUUGGCUUGUUCGGAGGGGGGCUUACGUUUUCACACAAACUUUGUAUGCAGUGUAGAAUGUAUUUUUUGUUUUUGCGAUCACGCAAUCAAUACAACUUUCAACAACGGAUCUCUUGGCUCUC